AGAGUUUGAUCCUGGCUCAGGACGAGCGCUGGCGGCGUGCCUAAUACAUGCAAGUCGAGCGGACAGAUGGGAGCUUGCUCCCUGAUGUUAGCGGCGGACGGGUGAGUAACACGUGGGUAACCUGCCUGUAAGACUGGGAUAACUCCGGGAAACCGGGGCUAAUACCGGAUGGUUGUUUGAACCGCAUGGUUCAAACAUAAAAGGUGGCUUCGGCUACCACUUACAGAUGGACCCGCGGCGCAUUAGCUAGUUGGUGAGGUAAUGGCUCACCAAGGCAACGAUGCGUAGCCGACCUGAGAGGGUGAUCGGCCACACUGGGACUGAGACACGGCCCAGACUCCUACGGGAGGCAGCAGUAGGGAAUCUUCCGCAAUGGACGAAAGUCUGACGGAGCAACGCCGCGUGAGUGAUGAAGGUUUUCGGAUCGUAAAGCUCUGUUGUUAGGGAAGAACAAGUACCGUUCGAAUAGGGCGGUACCUUGACGGUACCUAACCAGAAAGCCACGGCUAACUACGUGCCAGCAGCCGCGGUAAUACGUAGGUGGCAAGCGUUGUCCGGAAUUAUUGGGCGUAAAGGGCUCGCAGGCGGUUUCUUAAGUCUGAUGUGAAAGCCCCCGGCUCAACCGGGGAGGGUCAUUGGAAACUGGGGAACUUGAGUGCAGAAGAGGAGAGUGGAAUUCCGCGUGUAGCGGUGAAAUGCGUAGAGAUGUGGAGGAACACCAGUGGCGAAGGCGACUCUCUGGUCUGUAACUGACGCUGAGGAGCGAAAGCGUGGGGAGCGAACAGGAUUAGAUACCCUGGUAGUCCACGCCGUAAACGAUGAGUGCUAAGUGUUAGGGGGUUUCCGCCCCUUAGUGCUGCAGCUAACGCAUUAAGCACUCCGCCUGGGGAGUACGGUCGCAAGACUGAAACUCAAAGGAAUUGACGGGGGCCCGCACAGGCGGUGGAGCAUGUGGUUUAAUUCGAAGCAACGCGAAGAACCUUACCAGGUCUUGACAUCCUCUGACAAUCCUAGAGAUAGGACGUCCCCUUCGGGGGCAGAGUGACAGGUGGUGCAUGGUUGUCGUCAGCUCGUGUCGUGAGAUGUUGGGUUAAGUCCCGCAACGAGCGCAACCCUUGAUCUUAGUUGCCAGCAUUCAGUUGGGCACUCUAAGGUGACUGCCGGUGACAAACAGGAGGAAGGUGGGGAUGACGUCAAAUCAUCAUGCCCCUUAUGACCUGGGCUACACACGUGCUACAAUGGACAGAACAAAGGGCAGCGAAACCGCGAGGUUAAGCCAAUCCCACAAAUCUGUUCUCAGUUCGGAUCGCAGUCUGCAACUCGACUGCGUGAAGCUGGAAUCGCUAGUAAUCGCGGACCAGCAUGCCGCGGUGAAUACGUUCCCGGGCCUUGUACACACCGCCCGUCACACCACGAGAGUUUGUAACACCCGAAGUCGGUGAGGUAACCUUUUAGGGGCCAGCCGCCGAAGGUGGGACAGAUGAUUGGGGUGAAGUCGUAACAAGGUA
RNAcentral lists this ribosomal RNA (1508 nucleotides) under metagenome. RNAcentral's name for it is "bacterial SSU rRNA". It matches the Rfam family "Bacterial small subunit ribosomal RNA". The record is from RNAcentral.